UGAACCUGCGUCCCAUUUUGAAUAUCUCUUGGAGAGAUUUAGGACAUUUCAAGUAAAUGUAAAUGACUAGAAAGUCAUCUGUUGGCCAUUUUAGUAUAACUUUGUUGGGUCAUGAUGUAGGUAGUGGCAAGAAAUUUUGCCAAAGUUUUUGUUAUUGAAAAUUAUCCAUUUGCUCUUGAUAAAAAGUUGCUACAAAGAUUGUGGAUUUGAAGAGGCUUUUAAGUAUGUUAAAUACCUCUUAUAGAAAUAAUUCGUUUCUUAGAUUUUUGAAAGGCAUUUGUUUCUGUCUUACAGUUGAUGAAUGUGAUUGUGAAGUAAGGGAAGCCAUAGCCAAGAAGAGGUAGCCAGAAGCAGUGAGUCAAAAUCACAGGGAGUGAGUGCAAACCUGAGGCAGCAAGUGAAAACUAGAAUAGGAAGCCUGUGGAAAACUAACUGAUUAAACAUGUCAUGGCUAUUUGGUAUGAAUCAGCGACCAGAAGACUUUUCACAAUUUGUGCCACCAGCUAGUACUGUUGGUGGAGGAGGGCUUGAUGGAUCAGGUGACUCGGGAGAUGGCAAGAGAAAAAGCAGUGCAAUGGAAGCUUAUCAUUUUGAUUCUGCUGCUCUAGAGUGAGCUGAUAAAGCUGCCAAGGAUCUAGAAUCUUCAAUUUCAGACACUGGCUCGUAUGAAGUGGAUGGUACCAGUGAACGUGCCCAUCAACCAGACCAGGAUGAUGUGGGACCGUAAUGUGGACCGUAGUGCUCUGGAAGCUGGGGAGAAGGUGCUGGCAUUGGAGCCAAUUCAUG
Molecule: non-coding RNA, 786 nt
Organism: Cherax quadricarinatus
Lineage: Eukaryota; Metazoa; Arthropoda; Malacostraca; Decapoda; Parastacidae
Source: RefSeq, a predicted model, not a curated record